UGGGAGUUGCUGGCUGGUGUUGUUGGCUCGACGCGAGGCAGGUACAGCGGGAAGAUGAGACGGGAUGGUCGGAGAUGGUGGAAAGCAGCCGCUACUGCAACAUAUCAACAGAGAAUUUGGUGGGACGUCGUCAGAGAGGGGAUAAUCGGAGAUGUGGGGAGCGGCGGACGAUGCUACGGAGAUUGAAGUGAGAAGAAGAAAAAGUUGGAACUUGG
This 215-nucleotide long non-coding RNA is filed under the name Linum usitatissimum (flax). Its description in RNAcentral is "long non-coding RNA (LUSI_LNC006796)". Lineage: Eukaryota; Viridiplantae; Streptophyta; Magnoliopsida; Malpighiales; Linaceae. The record is from RNAcentral.